GUAAUCCGCUGAGACGCUGCCAGGUUUGACUUCCAGCCUGCUCGUCUCACUUUUGCUGAUGGUUAGCGUUGUACAGGUUACUCACGGUGGGUGGAUUAAUGGCGACCCUCAAGCGCUUUACAGUCUGGCAGGAUUAAUCUCUGGCAUUUAAUGGAAAUCAUCUUGAGAAGGGAAAGUUUGCCUCUCAGAUUGUUUCCAUAAACCAGCGUAGCAUCAGGAGUCUCUAUCGUCCUGGACUAUUUUGCAGCGGCUCGACUUCAUCACAAAGCCUGGACCUGAUCCACUCUCAUAAACGUCUGUUCCCUUUUCCUUUAAGCUUUAUUUGCAGAGUUCAAAGUUAGCUUCUCUCAGCUUAUUUAGCCCAGCUGCACAGUCGUGUUGCUUUUUCACUCUGAUGCAACCUGUUCACAGAGCGGCGCAAGGUUUAUGAGAUUAGCGCGCAGUAAUUAACAGCACUGAGUCUACGGAUGAGCUGCGUUCACUGAGUCAAAGGAAGAUCCUCACAGCUCCCUCUGAUUCUCCAUCCACGCAUUAACCCAAACCUGCUCCUUCUACAACCUGUGUGCUCCAGCUUCUUUGCUUCCUGGUUAGAGCUGCCUCAUCCUUCUACACCUGGCUGCUCCAAGGCCCUGGGAUGAGUCAGACCUUUUGCGCUCAUAGAUUACGGUGUUUACGAGGAGGACUGGGCACCAGCGACGCUUCCAAACUGGGAUUCAAGGACAACUGCCAGCGGAUAUGAUUUGUUUUGCAUCCCUGCUGUGACUGGAGGAACUGCCAACGCUGAAAUUUGAGCCAGAGUGUCGAAUCAUGCUGUUCUCGUUUUCUCGUUUUUUGUUUUUUUUUUAGGCGGAAACUUUCAUUUGACAAUCUGCAAAAAGCUGAAUUUACACAUUCCUAACAAUUUAUUCCACUCCAAGGGCACGAAAGUGUCCUCCAACUUUUGUGGGAGGAUCAAUCUGGCUCCCGAGUAGAAGGUUUUUAAAGCCUGAAUCCACUGAUGCAGAAUAAGACUUUUAUUAUGAAACUCAGAGGAAGGACACAACCACACAAAUGCAUGCGUAGUAAAGCCAAAUGCUUUGUGUGGGGGGUUAUUUCCUGACUUUGCCACAGACCUGUAAAACCUUUGCAACCUUGAUAAAGGCUGUAGAAUCACUUUUUAAACAUUUAUGAUCCUUAAAAAUUAUGUUAAGUUAAAACUUCUCAGUCGUUGUCUUGGCCUGUGAUUUACUGUUCAACCAAAGGCCAAACAGUUGCGUCAAAGGUUGUUUAUAGUGAGUCAGACGUGACAUAAUUACACAGACUGGCGACCAUUACUGUAAGAGACCAGUUACUUGGAAGUCUCCACAACAAAAUGGAGCAAUCCAGGUAUUGGUUCAUUUUACAUCUGAUGCACAUUAUGUUUUUAUGUUAUGCCUUUUAAGUCCUGCAUUACUUAUAUACUGACAUUAUCACUGUGAAAACCUCUAAGAGCCUGUUUUCAAACAGAACCAGGGUUUUUAAUCAGAGCAGAGGCAUCCUCUGUUGUUCUUCUGCUUGUGUAUUGGUGGGACGCUUGCAUUUGGAGCAUUUGUGAUUUAAUGGGAAGGAUUAAGUUGCUUCAGAAGCGGCAUCGACUGUAGCGGCUCCACCUUUUAUCCGGCCGUAUCUCGGCCCCGACCCGUCUAACGGCCUCGUUGCCUUCCCUCUGAGGGCACUGAGCUCUCUGUCCUGAGUCCAGAGGAGACGCUCACACAG
Molecule: long non-coding RNA, 1734 nt
Organism: Betta splendens (Siamese fighting fish)
Lineage: Eukaryota; Metazoa; Chordata; Actinopteri; Anabantiformes; Osphronemidae
Source: Ensembl